GGGGCCGUAGCUCAGUUGGGAGAGCGCAUGCAUGGCAUGCAUGAGGUCCGGGGUUCGAAUCCCCGCGGCUCCA
RNAcentral lists this transfer RNA (73 nucleotides) under Phycisphaerae bacterium. RNAcentral's name for it is "tRNA-Ala". It matches the Rfam family "tRNA". From Rfam's summary of the family: Transfer RNA (tRNA) molecules are approximately 80 nucleotides in length. Their secondary structure includes four short double-helical elements and three loops (D, anti-codon, and T loops). The record is from RNAcentral. Lineage: Bacteria; Pseudomonadati; Planctomycetota; Phycisphaerae.